ACACUUUUUAGUCAUUGGAGUUUUGAUGUCCAGAAAAUUGCCCCCAGGCCUUCAUUAUGUUGUCACUUUUUUUUAUUUUUUUUUUGGAUACAGACACGUACAAGAUAUGUGUUCUUCUGCAUAUGCCGAUUUUGAUCGCCAAAUCACCGGUGAAGUAUUAUUGAUAGUAUUACACAUGAGAAAAGACAAUAUAUGGUUUAUUUAAGAUUUGUCGAUGGUUAGUUUUAUAAUAAAACUUUGAAUCAUUAGUUUCAACAAUUUUUUAUGGUUUUCUUGAAAACGAUAUAAUUCUAGUA
Molecule: long non-coding RNA, 296 nt
Filed under: Linum usitatissimum (flax)
Lineage: Eukaryota; Viridiplantae; Streptophyta; Magnoliopsida; Malpighiales; Linaceae
Description: long non-coding RNA (LUSI_LNC002729)
Source: RNAcentral